This 345-nucleotide ribosomal RNA is filed under the name uncultured Desulfovibrio sp. RNAcentral describes it as "bacterial SSU rRNA". It matches the Rfam family "Bacterial small subunit ribosomal RNA", at positions 355 to 691 of the family's 1533-position model. The record is from RNAcentral. Lineage: Bacteria; Pseudomonadati; Thermodesulfobacteriota; Desulfovibrionia; Desulfovibrionales; Desulfovibrionaceae.
UGGGGAAUAUUGCGGCAAUGGGCGAAAGCCUGACGCAGCGACGCCGCGUGAGGGAUGAAGGUCUUCGGAUCGUAAACCUCUGUCAGAAGGGAAGAAACUAGGGUGCUCUAAUCAUCAUCCUACUGACGGUACCUUCAAAGGAAGCACCGGCUAACUCCGUGCCAGCAGCCGCGGUAAUACGGAGGGUGCAAGCGUUAAUCGGAAUCACUGGGCGUAAAGCGCACGUAGGCUGUUAUGUAAGUCAGGGGUGAAAUCCCACGGCUCAACCGUGGAACUGCCCUUGAUACUGCACGACUUGAAUCCGGGAGAGGGUGGCGGAAUUCCAGGUGUAGGAGUGAAAUCCGU